GAUGAACGCUGGCGGCGUGCCUAAUACAUGCAAGUCGAGCGAACGGACGAGAAGCUUGCUUCUCUGAUGUUAGCGGCGGACGGGUGAGUAACACGUGGAUAACCUACCUAUAAGACUGGGAUAACUUCGGGAAACCGUAGCUAAUACCGGAUAAUAUUUUGAACCGCAUGGUUCAAAAGUGAAAGACGGUCUUGCUGUCACUUAUAGAUGGAUCCGCGCUGCAUUAGCUAGUUGGUAAGGUAACGGCUUACCAAGGCAACGAUGCAUAGCCGACCUGAGAGGGUGAUCGGCCACACUGGAACUGAGACACGGUCCAGACUCCUACGGGAGGCAGCAGUAGGGAAUCUUCCGCAAUGGGCGAAAGCCUGACGGAGCAACGCCGCGUGAGUGAUGAAGGUCUUCGGAUCGUAAAACUCUGUUAUUUGGGAAGAACAUAUGUGUAAGUAACUGUGCACAUCUUGACGGUACCUAAUCAGAAAGCCACGGCUAACUACGUG
RNAcentral lists this ribosomal RNA (497 nucleotides) under uncultured bacterium. Its description in RNAcentral is "partial 16S ribosomal RNA". It matches the Rfam family "Bacterial small subunit ribosomal RNA", at positions 28 to 507 of the family's 1533-position model. The record is from RNAcentral.